GAAACAGCAUCGAAAGCAGUGGUACAUCAGAUAAACAGAAACAUCUCCGAAAAAGCUUACUUUCAAGAACCAAAUGAGGUGGAGGCUUAAAAUUCUUACAGUGUAAACUGAAGGUUAAAAAAGCUUCCCUCUAGGUCAGUUUUUCUACAAAUAUUCUAAAGAGGGUGACAAACGGCAACUGUCACCACACCAGCCCCGGCUAAACGGAAACUGGAACUACCCAGAAACUUAAUGGCUGUUGGAAUUUGUGGAUGAGUGCUGUCACUGAAAUUCUCAUGGAGGAGAAGGUAUACAGCUGGAGAUGAGAUUUUACGCGAGGGGGAACAUUUGGAGACAC
Lagenorhynchus albirostris (white-beaked dolphin) is the source of this 337-nucleotide long non-coding RNA. RefSeq lists it as uncharacterized. Lineage: Eukaryota; Metazoa; Chordata; Mammalia; Artiodactyla; Delphinidae. The transcript is spliced from 3 exons. The record is from RefSeq and is a predicted model, not a curated record.